This 480-nucleotide ribosomal RNA is filed under the name uncultured bacterium. RNAcentral describes it as "partial 16S ribosomal RNA". It matches the Rfam family "Bacterial small subunit ribosomal RNA", at positions 29 to 507 of the family's 1533-position model. The record is from RNAcentral.
AUGAACGCUGGCGGCGUGCUUAACACAUGCACGUCGAACGAAACACCUUAUUUGAUUUUCUUCGGAACUGAAGAUUUGGUGAUUGAGUGGCGGACGGGUGAGUAACGCGUGGGUAACCUGCCCUGUACAGGGGGAUAACAGUCAGAAAUGACUGCUAAUACCGCAUAAGACCACAGCACCGCAUGGUGCAGGGGUAAAAACUCCGGUGGUACAGGAUGGACCCGCGUCUGAUUAGCUGGUUGGUGAGGUAACGGCUCACCAAGGCGACGAUCAGUAGCCGGCUGGAGAGAGUGAACGGCCACAUUGGGACUGAGACACGGACCAAACUCCUACGGGAGGCAGCAGUGGGGAAUAUUGCACAAUGGGGGAAACCCUGAUGCAGCGACGCCGCGUGAGUGAAGAAGUAUUUCGGUAUGUAAAGCUCUAUCAGCAGGGAAGAAAAUGACGGUACCUGACUAAGAAGCCCCGGCUAACUACGUG